Molecule: long non-coding RNA, 1203 nt
Filed under: Phascolarctos cinereus (koala)
Lineage: Eukaryota; Metazoa; Chordata; Mammalia; Diprotodontia; Phascolarctidae
Description: lncRNA (ENSPCIG00000030724.1)
Source: RNAcentral
AGGGGGAGGCGGGGUUGCAGGAGGCGGGGUCCUGGACCGGCCCCAGGGCCUCCAUCGGGUUCCCUGACGGGCCUCUCCCGUCCUCUCGGCUCUCUUUUGCCUGAAACUUUCAAGGGAGCCUGGAGACCGGAGCAGUCGGGGAGGCCCCAGCGGAAAUGGAAACGGACAAGGCGGCAGCGGCGGAGGGAGCACCUCGAGCAGGGCGCCGAGGCUCAGGGCGGGAAGGGGUCCGCACUCGCUCGCUUGCUCGCUUUCGGGCUGCUUCGGGAAGGCCGGAGCAUCAUCCAUCCCGGGCGCCCUGCCCUCCCCUCCGCUCCCCUCCACCGCGAUCGUGCCCCCCUCCCGCUGCCCUCGGGCCCGGAGGCGACCCGAGCGAGGCCCGUUACCCACCCUCCGAGCCCCCCACGCUGCCUCCGGACACAAGCAGCAGCAGGAGGGCGGACGGACGACUGGGCCCGACACGGCGACGGCGGCAGCGGCAGCAGCAGCAGGAGGAGAUGGAGGCGGCGCCGGAGCGGAGCCGGGCCCGGGCUGCCGAGUCGCGGCCGCCUCCUCCUCCUCCUCCUCCUCCUCCUCCUCUCGUCGGGGCGGCAGCGGCAGCGUCGGCCCCCGCGGAGGUUCGUUCCGCGAGAGCUGGCGGGCGGGCGCCUGGGGGAGUGGGAGCCCGGCUGCCGCUGCAGCCGCCGCCGGAUGGCCCAGGCCUCUGAGGCUGGGGAGCCGGAGCCGGAGCCGCCGCCGCCGCGGGCCGGAUCGAGCGACGCUUUACGUCCCGUCCCCCCCACCCCACCCCCACCCCCGCUCCCUCCCUCCUCCCUCCCUCCACCGCCGCCGCCCCCCCUCCCCUCCCGCUCCGCUCUCUCUCCCUCUCUCGAUUGGAGCCGAGACAAAAGCAACGGGAAGCGGCGGACCUGGACGCUGCCCACGGACCCCCGGCGCGACCGGACCGGCCCCGGAGCCUUCCCCCGCCUCGCGGGGACCCCGGAUCCGCCGCCCCCGCCGCGCGCCCCGCCGCCAGACUUCCGAAAAAUUGCCAAAAACUCACCGCAUGAAUUUUCUUGUCCCGCGGAUCCAAGAUGGCGACGUAUCAACCGCGGAGGCUGCUGGGAGCAGGACCUUUACCCUUUGACCUCCGCCGUGACCCCCCCUGCCGCCGCUCGGGCUCAGCUCGGAGGGGGAGGCGGGUGGCCGGAGCUGCGGUUGUAG